GCCGUGAAGGCGUUCCAGGAAAUAGCUCCAGCGUAUAGACCGUACCCCAAACCGACACAGGUGGACAGGUAGAGUAUACCAAGGCGCUUGAGAGAACUAUGUUGAAGGAACUCGGCAAAAUACCUCCGUAAGUUCGCGAGAAGGAGGCCCAGUUUCUACGCAAGUAUUGGCUGGGGGCACAAACCAGGGGGUGGCGACUGUUUACUAAAAACACAGGGCUCUGCGAAGUCGCAAGACGACGUAUAGGGUCUGACGCCUGCCCGGUGCCUGAAGGUUAAAAGGAGGGGUGAGAGCUCCGAAUUGAAGCCCAGGUAAACGGCGGCCGUAACUAUAACGGUCCUAAGGUAGCGAAAUUCCUUGUCGGGUAAGUUCCGACCUGCACGAAUGGCGUAACGACUUCCCCGCUGUCUCCAACAUAGACUCAGCGAAAUUGAAUUGCCUGUCAAGAUGCAGGCUUCCCGCGGUUAGACGGAAAGACCCCGUGCACCUUUACUACAGCUUCGCACUGGCAUCAGGCACAACAUGUGCAGGAUAGGUGGUGGGCUUUGAAGCAGAAACGCCAGUUUCUGUGGAGCCUCCCUUGAGAUACCACCCUUGUUCUGCUUGAUGUCUAACCGCGGUCCGUUAUCCGGAUCCGGGACCCUGCGUGGCGGGUAGUUUGACUGGGGCGGUCGCCUCCUAAAGAGUAACGGAGGCGCGCGAUGGUGGGCUCAAGCCGGUCGGACAUCGGCUGUUGAGUGCAAUGGCAUAAGCCCGCCUGACUGCGAGACUGACAAGUCGAGCAGAGACGAAAGUCGGUCAUAGUGAUCCGGUGGUUCUGAGUGGAAGGGCCAUCGCUCAACGGAUAAAAGGUACGCCGGGGAUAACAGGCUGAUACUGCCCAAGAGUCCAUAUCGACGGCAGUGUUUGGCACCUCGAUGUCGGCUCAUCUCAUCCUGGGGCUGGAGCAGGUCCCAAGGGUACGGCUGUUCGCCGUUUAAAGAGGUACGUGAGCUGGGUUUAGAACGUCGUGAGACAGUUCGGUCCCUAUCUGCCGUGGGUGUAGGAUACUUGAGAGGAGUUGCCCCUAGUACGAGAGGACCGGGGUGAACGAUCCACUGGUGGACCUGUUGUUGCGCCAGCAGCAGUGCAGGGUAGCUAUGAUCGGACAGGAUAACCGCUGAAGGCAUCUAAGCGGGAAGCCCCCCUCAAAACAAGGUAUCCCUGAGGGCCGUGGAAGACCACCACGUCGAUAGGCCGGAGAUGUAAGCAUGGUAACAUGUUCAGUUGACCGGUACUAAUUGCCCGAUAGGCUUGAUUUG
RNAcentral lists this ribosomal RNA (1301 nucleotides) under marine metagenome. RNAcentral's name for it is "bacterial LSU rRNA". It matches the Rfam family "Bacterial large subunit ribosomal RNA", at positions 1591 to 2925 of the family's 2925-position model. The record is from RNAcentral.